UCGGGAAUUUUGGGCAAUGGGCGCAAGCCUGAUCCAGCCAUGCCGCGUGGAUGAUGAAGGCCCUAGGGUUGUAAAAUCCUUUCGUCAGGGACGAUAAUGACGGUACCUGAAGAAGAAGCCCCGGCUAACUUCGUGCCAGCAGCCGCGGUAAUACGAAGGGGGCUAGCGUUGUUCGGAAUUACUGGGCGUAAAGCGCAUGUAGGCGGGUCGUUAAGUCGGGGGUGAAAGCCCAGAGCUCAACUCUGGAACUGCCUUCGAUACUGGCGACCUGGACCCAAGGAGAGGCGAGUGGAAUUGCGAGUGUAGAGGUGAAAUUCGUAGAUAUUCGCAGGAACACCAGUGGCGAAGGCGACUCGCUGGACUUGUGGUGACGCUGAGAUGCGAAAGCG
This 389-nucleotide ribosomal RNA is filed under the name uncultured bacterium. RNAcentral describes it as "bacterial SSU rRNA". It matches the Rfam family "Bacterial small subunit ribosomal RNA", at positions 355 to 761 of the family's 1533-position model. The record is from RNAcentral.